GGGGAUAUAGCUCAGUUGGUAGAGUGCUUGCCUUGCAUGCACAAGGCCCUGGGUUCAAUCCCCAGAACCACA
Molecule: transfer RNA, 72 nt
Filed under: Marmota marmota marmota (Alpine marmot)
Lineage: Eukaryota; Metazoa; Chordata; Mammalia; Rodentia; Sciuridae
Also listed under: 3 other names
Rfam family: tRNA
About the family: Transfer RNA (tRNA) molecules are approximately 80 nucleotides in length.
Source: Rfam by way of RNAcentral